This 3305-nucleotide long non-coding RNA is filed under the name Sus scrofa (pig). RNAcentral's name for it is "lncRNA (ENSSSCG00000061127.1)". The record is from RNAcentral. Lineage: Eukaryota; Metazoa; Chordata; Mammalia; Artiodactyla; Suidae.
ACAGAUGAUCAGUUUUAGACUGGUGUGCUGCUGAAUUCAGCCAACUCGCUCAUCAUGAUUCUAACAGAUUUUUCUGCUCUUCGGACCACUGGGAACCUUAUGAACCAGUUAGUUCUGCCCUCCUUCUUAUGACAAAGUGCCAAUACUGUCAACAUCCAGGAAACCAAGCACCAGAAUCACUUGCUACUGCAAUGAGCUUUCUUUUAGAAUAUAAAAUAAGGAAAAAGAAAAUGUCUCUAAAAAUAAUAAUUUUUCAUUGUCUUCAAGUUUUAAAAGCUCUGAAAUUUUCUGGCAAAAAUGUCUAGCCAAAGGUAGGGAUAUUCUUCAUCUUUAUCUACGAAAUAAUUCUCCCCCACCUCUUUCUCUCUCCUCUCUCUCCUCCCAACCCUGCCUCACUGAGGAGCAGGAUCAGGGGUUUAUUUCUCCCUUGUAUAGACAACCUCAUAACUUCAGAACUAGAAAAGACCAACUCAUUUCAAAAACAAAGAAAAUGGAAUCCAAUGAUUUGGACAAAAUUUUAAAGCCAGGGAAUGGUUGAAUUGAUCUCUAGUUCCAAGUUCCUAGCUUAUAAUCUAGUGAUUUUAUUAAUACACCCCCUAUUGUCCCUGCCUAUAUUAUAUUAUACUUUAGCUUACAUGUUUAGGAAUUAGAAUUUGACCAAAUUGAUCAAAUAAAUAGAAUGUCACUUUCAUUAAAGACAGAAUUUUUUUCUGUUUUGUUCAUGAUCCUAUCCUCAAUACCUAAAACAGUGCCUGGCAUAUCAUAUGUGCUUCAAACAUAAGCAUAGAAGGGUGUAAUGAUGGUCAGAUUUGUGCAUUGAUGAGUGAUGUUAUAGUUAAGCUGUUCUCUAUUUUGCCAAAGAUAAGCCAGAAAGGAGUAUAAAUUCUACUGGGAAAAAACAGUUAACUUGAUACAAAUAAAUUCAGAAGAAAAUAUACAGAGUAGGUAAUAGUGGGGAUACCAUUUGGCUACUCAAAUUUAAGCGAGCUUGACAAAAUAAUCAGAAGGUAUCAUGAAAUGAUUAAAACAAGAAAAUAGUGAUUAAAAUGAGACUAAGAAUCACAGCAACUGCCAAAAUGUGUUUUUUACAUAUUUAUUUUGAGAAAGAAGGCUGUAAGACAUACAUAAGCUUCCCUUGCCUACCUAUUAUUUUUAUAAGGUAAAUACUGAAGGUAUAUUUUCAUUUGGAAACAGUCUAACCAGGGAAGUCAAACCCCUUGCUUGACAUUAAAGGAUGUCAGAAGAAUGACUGGAAGAAAAGCAAAGGCGUGGUCUCACUCUAAGUCCUAUUCUGUUUGCGUGAAGACCACACUGCUUCUGGUUUGGUUUAAUCAAAAUAAUAAAAUCAGUCAAUAGGCCACUAGCUGGGCUUUCAACACUAUUUUAGGCAGAAUAAAGAAAGCACAUAAUCAUCUCUGUUUUUGACAGUCUUCACAAAUGAGAAAAGAAAUUCAAAGCUUUGGUUUCAUUGAUAUUUUAAACAUGACUGUUUAAGGUCACACCUUAGUUGCUGAGCAAUAGACGGAGUAUAAUUGAAAACAAUGACUGACUCUGCAAAACCCACAGAAAAGAUCCAGGGUGCACUGGAGUCAGAUGUGAGCCAGAGAAAUCGCUGCGAGCUGCUACCCAGGAUGACAGAGAGUGACACAAAGCUGAAGGCUAGCUUCUGCCUCAGGUUCCCAUACACACUGUCUUUUGAAAACAACCUGGGCUUCAGUGGCACUUCUGAAACCAGACAUUAUUUUUUUUUCUAUAGAAUUAAUUUAUCCUCAACCUCAUGAAUCACAAAAACACAUUUUUUACGUGAACACAGUCAUGAAGUAUAAUUCACUUUCUUUGUUGCUGUCCAGAAAUGCCCUUCAAAGCACUUUGGACACAAUUGUCAAACAGGCAGGAUUUACUCUAUUUGUGAUGUUUUUGCUCAAAAGUUGGAAUUUUCUUUGUGUUUUCCUUUACCCCUCUUCUGCAACCUUGGUGCCCUCCUCAGUCCCACACCCCCACACAAAGACACUCCUUAAUUGUAUUACUGUUAGGCUGACCUCCAACCCCAACUAAAAUGAGGACAAGGCUAGUUUUGUGUUUCGUGGGAUAACAAUUUAUGAGCAAUUAAAAAUGAAGGGACACAAAGCAUUCAUCACAGUCUCAGCUAGACAGGCAGCUGAGGUCAAAGGCUCUAGCAAUGAAGUGUGCACAAUAUAUUUUUAUUUCUGUUUUCACUAAGAAGGGAACGGGUUAGCUAAAAAUUAUGGCAGGCAGCCUCCAGUUCAAAAUAGGUGCACUUAAUCUUUUCAGACAGUCCAUGCUUGGCCAGAUAGGUUAUAACAGCACAUGCAAAGACAUAUACAAACACACAUACACACACACACAAACACACACUCACUCACAACCUGAGUACCAAACAGCAUGAUGUAGGAAAAUGGAACAUUUUCUAGUUCAAUUCACAUACAAUUUCUAAAAGAAAAAUGUGCUAAAUAAAUACUCAUUAUGAUUUUAUAGCCAAGUACACAAUAUUUCUCUCCUCUCGCCCGUAUUAUGGAAAACAAAAUAGGAGAUUUUAAGGUAUAAUUCCUCUUGGCACAUUGCUCAAUCUGUUUGGAAGAACAUGAGAGUGUUAUAAUUUUAUUUUCCUGGAGCAUCAGUGGUCUAUUACAGGAAAGUUGAGAUUAAUGUCUUGCCUGCUGCGUUUCAGUCAGAGUUACAUAUCAAAGCACUACAGAAACCGCCUUUCAAUGUAAUGCCCUUGGUUUUGAAAAUUUGGUUUUCCUGAAACACUACAGUAUCCAAAUCUGACACUCAUCUUCUGAUUUAAGGUCUUGGCCUGGCAUGAAAAGUCCUGGUGAAUUAAUGACUAGUUAUGCCAUUAAUCGACAUUAGCAUUGUUUUAUAUUUUCCAAUUUUCGAUAGAAAAAGAAGGGCUGAUAUCAAGCAGAUCAUCAGUUUUCAUUCUGUGUAUAGAUUUGCUCUGCUAACCAAUAUGCUGUAAUGUCAGAAUAAACAAGAACCAAAUGGUAAUGGUUGUCAUUCUUUGAUGCUACAAUGGAGAUGCCAGAUACACAUGUAAAAUUCUUCUGAUGAGAGGAGUAGGAAGUUUCUGAUCCCCAGUUGAGAAGGCCUUUUACUUUCCUUAGUAAUUUUCUAUUAGAACAGCAGAGUAAACUUCGAAAAGGAAUUCAAUUUGCACCUAAAAACAUCACUGUUAGGAGAUAGAGAUUAAAAGCUAUUAAUAGCUAACUCAGAUUAUUGCAACUUUUCUCUCAGAAAAUUUCAAGGUCCUCAUCAGUUCUGAUAUCACCAAUCUGUGUGUC